RNAcentral lists this unclassified non-coding RNA (315 nucleotides) under uncultured fungus. Its description in RNAcentral is "sequence contains ITS1". The stretch from base 1 to 105 matches the Rfam family "5.8S ribosomal RNA", at positions 50 to 154 of the family's 154-position model. Lineage: Eukaryota; Fungi. The record is from RNAcentral.
GAAGUGCGAAAAGCAAUGCGAAUUGCAGAAUUCCGCGAAUCAUCAGAUCUUUGAACGCAACUGGCGCCUGCCGGAUAUCCGGUUGGCAUGUUUGUUUCAGUGUCUUAUUUUUUGCAAAUCUAAAUGUGAUUGAUGUCUUCUUGUAAGACAUCUCUCAUGAAAUCAGAAUGUGCGUGUAUUCCAACACAACGAAGUAGUCACAUGUUUCUAUGUGAUCUCGUUGAUGAAAGGUUUACAUUCAUAUUGUGCACAUAGAGCCUGCAAAAACUUAUCAAAAGGUAUCUGAAAUCAAGCAAGAUCACCCGCUGAACUUAA